AGUGAACGCUGGCGGCGUGCUUAACACAUGCAAGUCGAACGAGAACGGGUUAUAGCUUGCUAUAAUUGUCAGCUAAGUGGCGCACGGGUGAGUAAUGUAUAGGCAAUAUGCCUCUUACUAAGGGAUAACAAAUGGAAACGUUUGCUAAUACCUUAUACUCCUUAUUAACAUAAGUUAAUAAGGGAAAGAUUUAUUGGUAAGAGAUUAGCCUGUAUUGUAUCAGUUAGUUGGUGGGGUAAUGGCUUACCAAGACUAUGACACAUAACUGGUUUGAGAGGAUGAUCAGUCACACUGGAACUGAGACACGGUCCAGACUCCUACGGGAGGCAGCAGUGGGGAACAUUGCACAAUGGACGAAAGUCUGAUGCAGCAACGCCGCGUGGAGGAUGACACAUUUCGGUGCGUAACUCCUUUUAUAUGAGAAGAUAAUGACGGUAUUAUAUGAAUAAGCACCGGCUAACUCCGUGCCAGCAGCCGCGGUAA
RNAcentral lists this ribosomal RNA (483 nucleotides) under uncultured bacterium. Its description in RNAcentral is "partial 16S ribosomal RNA". It matches the Rfam family "Bacterial small subunit ribosomal RNA", at positions 29 to 523 of the family's 1533-position model. The record is from RNAcentral.